RNAcentral lists this non-coding RNA (83 nucleotides) under uncultured Lacrimispora sp. Its description in RNAcentral is "Cyclic di-GMP-I riboswitch". It matches the Rfam family "c-di-GMP-I riboswitch aptamer", at positions 9 to 86 of the family's 87-position model. Rfam says of the family: GEMM was predicted in a large-scale screen for bacterial structured RNA regulatory elements. Lineage: Bacteria; Bacillati; Bacillota; Clostridia; Lachnospirales; Lachnospiraceae. The record is from RNAcentral.
AAGAGGGCAAACUUAUCGAAAGGUAAGGUCGCAAAGCCAUAGGGUCUAAGGCGUUUCACACGUUAUGAUAGCCUGGUUGCCAA